GAUGAACGCUGGCGGCGUGCUUAACACAUGCAAGUCGAACGGAAAGGCCCAAGCUUGCUUGGGUACUCGAGUGGCGAACGGGUGAGUAACACGUGGGUGAUCUGCCCUGCACUUCGGGAUAAGCCUGGGAAACUGGGUCUAAUACCGGAUAGGACGAUGGUUUGGAUGCCAUUGUGGAAAGUUUUUUCGGUGUGGGAUGAGCUCGCGGCCUAUCAGCUUGUUGGUGGGGUAAUGGCCUACCAAGGCGUCGACGGGUAGCCGGCCUGAGAGGGUGUACGGCCACAUUGGAACUGAGAGACGGCCCAGACUCCUACGGGAGGCAGCAGUGGGGAAUAUUGCACAAUGGGCGCAAGCCUGAGGCAGCGACGCCGCGUGGGGGAUGACGGCCUUCGGGUGGUAAACACCUUUCGCUAGGGACGAAGCGUUUUUGUGACGGUACCUGGAGAAGAAGCACCGGCUAACUACGUG
This 468-nucleotide ribosomal RNA is filed under the name uncultured bacterium. RNAcentral describes it as "partial 16S ribosomal RNA". It matches the Rfam family "Bacterial small subunit ribosomal RNA", at positions 28 to 507 of the family's 1533-position model. The record is from RNAcentral.